Molecule: ribosomal RNA, 231 nt
Filed under: Triticum aestivum (bread wheat)
Lineage: Eukaryota; Viridiplantae; Streptophyta; Magnoliopsida; Poales; Poaceae
Description: partial small subunit ribosomal RNA
Source: RNAcentral
AUGCCGGCGCAGGACGCGUGCGCGCUCUGCACCAAGCCGCUGGCGCGCGACAGCGACAUCUUCAUGUACAAGGGCGACACGCCCUUCUGCAGCGAGGAGUGCCGCGACGAGCAGAUGCAGCUCGACGCCAUCGCCGCCAGGCAGGCCGCCCGGAGGCAGCAGCGGUUCUCGUCGGGAACGGAGGCCCGCAGCGGGCACCAGGAGUCCAGGAAGGUGUCCGUCGCGAGCUAG